UGACCAACCUGCCCCUAACUCUGGGAUAACCCCGGGAAACCGGAGCUAAUACCGGAUACGAGACCGAGUGGCAUCACACGGUCUGGAAAGUUUUUCGGCUAAGGAUGGGCUCGCGGCCUAUCAGCUUGUUGGUGGGGUAAUGGCCUACCAAGGCGACGACGGGUAGCCGGCCUGAGAGGGUGACCGGCCACACUGGGUCUGAGACACGGCCCAGACUCCUACGGGAGGCA
Molecule: ribosomal RNA, 230 nt
Filed under: uncultured bacterium
Lineage: Bacteria
Description: partial 16S ribosomal RNA
Rfam family: Bacterial small subunit ribosomal RNA
Source: RNAcentral